GGCCGACGACGCGACAGAACGAGCAACUCAACGCAGUUGUGUCGUUGCAGCUGUGUGGGCGAGGUAAAUCCAAUAUGAAAACUGGACCCUGAAGCGACGCCUUCAGGAUGCCGAAAAUAAUUAUGACUACAUGUGCCCCCAGUACAAGGG
Ixodes scapularis (black-legged tick) is the source of this 150-nucleotide long non-coding RNA. RefSeq lists it as uncharacterized. The record is from RefSeq and is a predicted model, not a curated record. Lineage: Eukaryota; Metazoa; Arthropoda; Arachnida; Ixodida; Ixodidae. The transcript has 3 exons.